This 253-nucleotide ribosomal RNA is filed under the name uncultured bacterium. Its description in RNAcentral is "partial 16S ribosomal RNA". It matches the Rfam family "Bacterial small subunit ribosomal RNA", at positions 524 to 776 of the family's 1533-position model. The record is from RNAcentral.
UACAGAGGUCUCAAGCGUUGUUCGGAUUCAUUGGGCGUAAAGGGUGUGUAGGUGGCGCCGUAAGUCGGGUGUGAAAUUUCGGAGCUUAACUCCGAAACUGCAUUCGAUACUGCGGUGCUUGAGGACUGGAGAGGAGACUGGAAUUCAUGGUGUAGCAGUGAAAUGCGUAGAGAUGUGGAGGAACACCAGUGGCGAAGGCGACUCUUUGGUCUGUAACUGACGCUGAGGCGCGAAAGCGUGGGGAGCAAACAGG